AAGGAAGAAAAGACAGGGGCAGCAAACAGACUGAGAGGAAUGAAGUUUUCCAUACCCCCAGAUGGGGAAAUCAAGACUGACAGCUGUUAUGUAACUUGUUCAAGGCAUUCAGCAUUCUUUAAGGAUGGACUCUUCGAGGUGCCUGUGUACCUGGUCCAGUGCCUCUGAGCCUCACACAGAUGCAGCCCCCCUCUCCCAAGGCCUCCUUGGUACCGUGUAUGCCUCUGUGUAGAACCUAAUUCAUUCUACCAGACACCAAAUCAGUGUCUUCCCAGUCCAAGACCCCUUCCUGAAGUCCUAGAAGGAGAAAAGUGUUCCUGUGCAGACUGAGAACGAGACCCCUGUCUUUGCACCACCCAGUACUUGGCACGCGGUUGCCAUCAAAGUGAAUGUGGUCAAGUAUAACUGACGUUGUCUUAGCAUAUGGAAGCUGGAGAAUGGGGAGGGAUAGGAAAUGUGGGUCUGAAACACACUACGAAUGCCUGAAUAAAGGUGUAGACCAGGGUCUGUCUACACCUGAUUGUGAUUGCUUGCUUACACACAA
Molecule: non-coding RNA, 544 nt
Organism: Odocoileus virginianus texanus
Lineage: Eukaryota; Metazoa; Chordata; Mammalia; Artiodactyla; Cervidae
Source: RefSeq, a predicted model, not a curated record